RNAcentral lists this ribosomal RNA (753 nucleotides) under Triticum aestivum (bread wheat). RNAcentral's name for it is "partial small subunit ribosomal RNA". The record is from RNAcentral. Lineage: Eukaryota; Viridiplantae; Streptophyta; Magnoliopsida; Poales; Poaceae.
AUGGAUCCGACGGAGAUACUGAACGUGAGAUUCCAUUUUGGUGGCGAGUUCAUCAGUAUGGGGCCAAAUUUGCAAUAUGUUGGGGGGGAUGAUGAGAUGUCAGAGAUUGAGAGGGAUAAGUUGUCACUGCAGGAGGUGAAAGGGUUUCUGAAAGAUCAUAUGCAGUUGAAGGAAUCAAUGAAAUUUUAUUUUCAGAUACCUGGGAAAUCAAUGGAAGAUGGCUUGAUGUUUCUGAAUGAUGACAGUAAAUGUGUCCAGAUGGGAGAGUACACUGAUGUGGGAGGAGUAGCUGACAUAUAUGUUGAGUAUCAUGGAGAGGAGGACAGUGAGCAUAGUAGCAGUGGGAGUGAUUUUGAAAAUGAUGAGAUGAUGGAGGUAGUUGAUGCUGAUGAUGAACCUGACAUUGUCAUCACAGCAGAGCAUGUUAUGGUUCCUGAUGAUACUGGUGUGAUCACUCAAGUAAUUUGCAGUCCAGUUAAGCCAGUUCAUGAAAGAAGAAGGCAAGUGGAUGCAGAGCAAGUGGAUGCAGAGCAAGUGGAAGCAGAGCAAGUGGUAGGAAGCUCCCAGCUUCCAGUUUCCCAGGUGUUAAAUCCAACUCAAGCAUCAAGUGAAGAACCAAUUGCUGAAGAUUCAGUUAGUGAGUCUGAUUCAGACCCUGAAUAUGAGCCACACAGUGAGGACAGUGGGGAAAAUUCAGAAGUGUUUAUAAUCCAGUGUACUGUUGCAAACCUGAAAGUGCACCAGCUUUUGUAA